GGGCACAUGGUGUAGUUGGUUAUCACGCUCGCUUAGCAUCUCCAGUUGCGAGCUUUCGUUUGCGAGAGGUGUCCGGUUCAAUUCCGGAUGUGUCCA
This is a non-coding RNA of Dentipellis sp. KUC8613, 96 nucleotides long. The record is from the annotation of a GenBank genome assembly. Lineage: Eukaryota; Fungi; Basidiomycota; Agaricomycetes; Russulales; Hericiaceae.